This 277-nucleotide ribosomal RNA is filed under the name uncultured bacterium. Its description in RNAcentral is "partial 16S ribosomal RNA". It matches the Rfam family "Bacterial small subunit ribosomal RNA", at positions 28 to 306 of the family's 1533-position model. The record is from RNAcentral.
GACGAACGCUGGCGGCGUGCUUAACACAUGCAAGUCGAGCGGUAAGGCCCUUUCGGGGGUACACGAGCGGCGAACGGGUGAGUAACACGUGGGUGACCUGCCCUUAGCUCUGGGAUAAGCCUGGGAAACUGGGUCUAAUACCGGAUAUGACCUCAUGACUCAUGUUGUGGGGUGGAAAGCCUUGUGCGGCUAGGGAUGGGCCCGCGGCCUAUCAGCUUGUUGGUGGGGUAAUUGCCUACCAAGGCGACGACGGGUAGCCGGCCUGAGAGGGCGACCG